This is a non-coding RNA of Linepithema humile (Argentine ant), 311 nucleotides long. The record is from RefSeq and is a predicted model, not a curated record. NCBI's taxonomy places the organism in Eukaryota, Metazoa, Arthropoda, Insecta, Hymenoptera, Formicidae.
AAUGGAUUCUUUUGUAAUGAACACAUUAAAAGAAUGGGGACUAGAAGAAUUGAUUCCAACAUUUGCAGCUCAAAAAAUUGACACCGAGGUAUUUAACACCCUUACCGACAAUGAUAUUGAGAGCUUGAUAAGUGAAGUGGGCACCAAAAGGAAAUUUUUAACAAAACUUAAAAAAUUCUGUACUUCCUGUUACUGAAAAGAUUUUUAGUGAGAUAAUCUUUGAUACUGACUGGGCCUCAUCUAGCACGACAAUUUUAUCGUCGCUAUCUGAUAUAAAUCCAAGUCCAUCAACUUCCAGUGUUCCAUCAAAG